GGCUUGUGGCCCAAGUGGUAGAGUGCUCGCCUAGCACGUGUGAGACCCUGGGUUCGAUCCUCAGCGCCA
This 69-nucleotide transfer RNA is filed under the name Marmota monax (woodchuck). RNAcentral's name for it is "tRNA.Ala". Lineage: Eukaryota; Metazoa; Chordata; Mammalia; Rodentia; Sciuridae. The record is from RNAcentral.